GCAUUAGUAGCUCAGCGCUCAGAGCGCCGGUCUUGUAAACCGGACGCCGAAGGUUAAAGUCCUUCCUACUGCU
This 73-nucleotide transfer RNA is filed under the name Iso hawaiiensis (Hawaiian surf sardine). RNAcentral describes it as "tRNA-Thr". It matches the Rfam family "tRNA". From Rfam's summary of the family: Transfer RNA (tRNA) molecules are approximately 80 nucleotides in length. Their secondary structure includes four short double-helical elements and three loops (D, anti-codon, and T loops). The record is from RNAcentral. Lineage: Eukaryota; Metazoa; Chordata; Actinopteri; Atheriniformes; Isonidae.